Molecule: non-coding RNA, 99 nt
Organism: Mycena alexandri
Lineage: Eukaryota; Fungi; Basidiomycota; Agaricomycetes; Agaricales; Mycenaceae
Source: the annotation of a GenBank genome assembly
GACCUGGUGGUGCAUGGUGCACACCCACUUUACUUACAGUGGUUAUAGUGGUACAAAAAAUUGAUGUGGGAGGUCCCCGUUCGAUUCGGGGUCAGGUCA